RNAcentral lists this ribosomal RNA (376 nucleotides) under Escherichia coli. Its description in RNAcentral is "partial 23S ribosomal RNA". It matches the Rfam family "Bacterial large subunit ribosomal RNA", at positions 1 to 409 of the family's 2925-position model. The record is from RNAcentral. Lineage: Bacteria; Pseudomonadati; Pseudomonadota; Gammaproteobacteria; Enterobacterales; Enterobacteriaceae.
GGGUUGUGAGGUUAAGCGACUAAGCGUACACGGUGGAUGCCCUGGCAGUCAGAGGCGAUGAAGGACGUGCUAAUCUGCGAUAAGCGUCGGUAAGGUGAUAUGAACCGUUAUAACCGGCGAUUUCCGAAUGGGGAAACCCAGUGUGAUUCGUCACACUAUCAUUAACUGAAUCCAUAGGUUAAUGAGGCGAACCGGGGGAACUGAAACAUCUAAGUACCCCGAGGAAAAGAAAUCAACCGAGAUUCCCCCAGUAGCGGCGAGCGAACGGGGAGCAGCCCAGAGCCUGAAUCAGUGUGUGUGUUAGUGGAAGCGUCUGGAAAGGCGCGCGAUACAGGGUGACAGCCCCGUACACAAAAAUGCACAUGCUGUGAGCUCG